GAUGAACGCUGGCGGCGUGCCUAAUACAUGCAAGUCGAGCGAACAGACGAGGAGCUUGCUCCUCUGACGAUAGCGGCGGACGGGUGAGUAACACGUGGAUAACCUACCUAUAAGACUGGGAUAACUUCGGGAAACCGGAGCUAAUACCGGAUAAUAUAUUGAACCGCAUGGUUCAAUAGUGAAAGACGGUUUUGCUGUCACUUAUAGAUGGAUCCGCGCCGCAUUAGCUAGUUGGUAAGGUAACGGCUUACCAAGGCAACGAUGCGUAGCCGACCUGAGAGGGUGAUCGGCCACACUGGAACUGAGACACGGUCCAGACUCUUACGGGAGGCAGCAGUAGGGAAUCUUCCGCAAUGGGCGAAAGCCUGACGGAGCAACGCCGCGUGAGUGAUGAAGGUCUUCGGAUCGUAAAACUCUGUUAUUAGGGAAGAACAAAUGUGUAAGUAACUAUGCACGUCUUGACGGUACCUAAUCAGAAAGCCACGGCUAACUACGUG
RNAcentral lists this ribosomal RNA (497 nucleotides) under uncultured bacterium. RNAcentral's name for it is "partial 16S ribosomal RNA". It matches the Rfam family "Bacterial small subunit ribosomal RNA", at positions 28 to 507 of the family's 1533-position model. The record is from RNAcentral.